GAUGAACGCUGGCGGCGUGCCUAACACAUGCAAGUCGAGCGGACCAAUGCUCAUUUCAGCUUUGCUGAUUUGAGCAACGGUUAGCGGCGGACGGGUGAGUAACGCGUGGGCAACCUGCCCUGUGCAGGGGGAUAACACAGCGAAAGCUGUGCUAAUACCCCAUAAGACUACGCUAUCGCAUGAUAGAGUAGUCAAAGCUUUAGCGGCACAGGAUGGGCCCGCGUCUGAUUAGCUAGUUGGUGGGGUAACGGCCUACCAAGGCGACGAUCAGUAGCCGACCUGAGAGGGUGAUCGGCCACACUGGAACUGAGACACGGUCCAGACUCCUACGGGAGGCAGCAGUGGGGAAUAUUGCACAAUGGGGGAAACCCUGAUGCAGCAACGCCGCGUGAGCGAAGAAGGCCUUCGGGUCGUAAAGCUCUGUCCUAAGGGAAGAAGCAUGACGGUACCUUAGGAGGAAGCCCCGGCUAACUACGUGCCAGCAGCCGCGGUAAUACGUAGGGGGCGAGCGUUAUCCGGAAUCACUGGGCGUAAAGGGUGCGUAGGCGGCCGAGUAAGCCAGAGGUGAAAGGCUACGGCUUAACCGUAGUAAGCCUUUGGAACUACUUGGCUUGAGUGCAGGAGAGGAGAGUGGAAUUCCUAGUGUAGCGGUGAAAUGCGUAGAUAUUAGAGGAACACCAGUGGCGAAGGCGACUCUCUGGACUGUAACUGACGCUGAGCACGAAAGCGUGGGGAGCAAACAGGAUUAGAUACCCUGGUAGUCCACGCCGUAAACGAUGAGUGCUAAGUGUCGGGGGUUCACACCCUCGGUGCCGGAGUUAACGCAAUAAGCACUCCGCCUGGGGAGUA
Molecule: ribosomal RNA, 849 nt
Filed under: uncultured bacterium
Lineage: Bacteria
Description: bacterial SSU rRNA
Rfam family: Bacterial small subunit ribosomal RNA
Source: RNAcentral